This 195-nucleotide non-coding RNA is filed under the name Nitrospirae bacterium CG2_30_41_42. Its description in RNAcentral is "6S RNA". It matches the Rfam family "6S / SsrS RNA". From Rfam's summary of the family: E. coli 6S RNA was the first non coding RNA to be sequenced, but its function was unknown until recently. It consists of 184 nucleotides that fold into an extended hairpin structure with a large single-stranded internal bulge. The 6S RNA specifically associates with RNA polymerase holoenzyme containing the sigma70 specificity factor. Lineage: Bacteria; Pseudomonadati; Nitrospirota. RNAcentral also lists the same sequence under 6 other names. The record is from RNAcentral.
AACUGCCUGCCCUGUUGGUGAUAAGAGGAAACAUUGAUCCGGCAAAUUAGAUCUUUUGGGAGCCUAAGUAAGGAGUCGGUGUGCAUGACGAGAACUUACUUAGUAAGUUUGCGGAAGCCUAAAGUCUCCUUCAAGGCACCCACCUAUUUUUUAGGCGGAUCUAAUCUUCCCUUUACACGGCAGGGUGGGUUUAUU